Molecule: long non-coding RNA, 908 nt
Organism: Dioscorea cayenensis subsp. rotundata (Guinea yam)
Lineage: Eukaryota; Viridiplantae; Streptophyta; Magnoliopsida; Dioscoreales; Dioscoreaceae
Exons: 3
Source: RefSeq, a predicted model, not a curated record
CUCGAUCAUCACGUUCUCAUUCUUGUUAGAAAAAGAGUAGAUAUAUAUCCCUACUAUGUCUGUCUCUUCUCCCAUCCCCUCAUCACACUCCGAUCAUAGAUUCUGAUCGUAGAUGAAAUCGCUUCUCCAUUAGGGCUUGUCAGAGACUUUCUUCCCUAAUUACAAGUCAUGCCAAAAGCUUUAUGGUGUCAGAAGUAAAGUUUACCGUGUUAACGAGUAUCAGGUUUUUAGGGCUCGUAACACAUAUGGAGUGAAAUCAAGGACAAAACCAACUAAAGAAGACAAUUCUUCUAAGGGUCCAAUGCAAGCACUAGCAGAGCACCGGCGUGCCAUCUCCCCAUGGUUUUAUUUGUCUGAGACUCCUUUGGUUGUCAACGAGAGCGUACAGGCACAACACGGGGGUGUUAUCUUCCCAUGAUUACUAUGGGAUAGUAGUACCCUAUACUUUCAGGGGAAACACAGUCCGUGUGCUCCUUUUAUGAGUGUGCUCAAGCUGAGCACGAGUGGAGCACAACCGAGCUCUCCCCGUGAUUCUUCUGGAUGACACUUAGCCCUUUUUCACUCAGAAGCCUUAAGAAGAGCAAUGUCUAAGCACAACCGUGCUUAGACCGUGUCGAGCCUAAAAAGUCCUCUUUAUGACCCAGAUCUUGGGUAUAUGGAUAUCUUUUGUUUGAGAUUUUUCUUCUCCAGGGGAGGAACUUUCAAGGAAACAAUGAUCAUCCGCCACCACUCGAGCUAAGGAGGCCAAGGGUAAGUAAGAGACACUGGAGAAGUGAAGUUGCCCAAUCCAUGAAGCUCUUGAAAUAUAUUUAAGAAGUUUUUAUGAAAAGGGGGAAAUCUAGAUGUCUCUCUUCCUUAUGUUAUUUUUCUUUCUCAUUUGUAUGAAUUCACUUAAGUUUUAAUGCCUA